RNAcentral lists this ribosomal RNA (490 nucleotides) under uncultured bacterium. RNAcentral's name for it is "partial 16S ribosomal RNA". It matches the Rfam family "Bacterial small subunit ribosomal RNA", at positions 30 to 507 of the family's 1533-position model. The record is from RNAcentral.
AUUGAACGCUGGCGGCAGGCUUAACACAUGCAAGUCGAGCGGUAACAGAGAGAAGCUUGCUUCUCUGCUGACGAGCGGCGGACGGGUGAGUAAUGCCUAGGAAUCUGCCUAGUAGUGGGGGAUAACUUGCCGAAAGGUAAGCUAAUACCGCAUACGUCCUACGGGAGAAAGGAGGGGACCUUCGGGCCUUUCGCUAUUAGAUGAGCCUAGGUCGGAUUAGUUAGUUGGUGAGGUAAUGGCUCACCAAGACCGCGAUCCGUAACUGGUCUGAGAGGAUGAUCAGUCACACUGGAACUGAGACACGGUCCAGACUCCUACGGGAGGCAGCAGUGGGGAAUAUUGGACAAUGGGGGGAACCCUGAUCCAGCCAUGCCGCGUGUGUGAAGAAGGUCUUAGGAUUGUAGAGCACUUUAAGUUGGGAGGAAGAGCAGUUAACUAAUAUUUGACUGUUUUGACGUUACCGACAGAAUAAGCACCGGCUAACUUCGUG